AGCCCGAUCAAGCUGGAUCCUGGGUCCCUCCUCUGGAAGCCUGGCACGUUACCUCAGGGAGAGCAGGCUCUCUCCUUGGUUUGGUGAACAGCUGGAACAACACAAGCAAAGGAAGAAAGCAAGAAAGAUGAGUGUGCUCCCCGUGGUCAUUCAUUCAGCCAGAAGCCCCUAUGCUAGGCACUAGGGAGGGCUUGGCUGCUCCUCCUGGAUCCCAGAGACCAUCCAGGAAGACAAGCAGAUGAACUCUUCUGAGCUGUCCCUGAAAGCAUUUUAGAGAACUCAGAAGAGAGUAGUUCAUUUGGAGAGAGAGAGAGAGAGAGAGAGAGAGAGGAGAGAGGAGAGAGGAUUCUCCACCUCACAAAGUACACCUUUGUCUGUUGACUGAACUGCUACAUGUUCCCGAGCCCAGCAAUACCAGCUGGUAGGGUAGGGAGUGAUGUUGAAAUAUCAGUUCCCCUCUCACUGUGCAGAAAUUCAAGUCACUUGUAAAUCACUUUUUUUUUUUAAGACAGGAUCUGGCUAUGUAGUUCAGGCUGGCUUUGAUCUCCCUCUGUAUCCUAUGCUGGUCUUGAAUUUGCAGUGAUCUUCCUGCUUUAGCCUCUGAGUGCUGGGAUUACAUGCAUGUGGCACCAUGCCCAGUCAUAAGUCACUUUUUAAGCAGCC
This 663-nucleotide long non-coding RNA is filed under the name Heterocephalus glaber (naked mole-rat). Its description in RNAcentral is "lncRNA (ENSHGLG00000041719.1)". The record is from RNAcentral. Lineage: Eukaryota; Metazoa; Chordata; Mammalia; Rodentia; Bathyergidae.